RNAcentral lists this long non-coding RNA (16794 nucleotides) under Solanum tuberosum (potato). RNAcentral describes it as "long non-coding RNA (STUB_LNC011842)". Lineage: Eukaryota; Viridiplantae; Streptophyta; Magnoliopsida; Solanales; Solanaceae. The record is from RNAcentral.
UAGCAUUCACCGCGAUUUUCGGCGUAUUUCAUGGUGAAACAUAAGUUCACAGAUUAUUCCGUGAACGCGGUGGUGUUGAUGAUGUUAGGGUCGAUUAUCUUAGGGUUACACAUGAAUAGAGAUCGUCCGAUAGGUGAAUCGAAUCAACGAUACAUGUUAGGGUUUGUGAUGACACUUGUUGGUGCGGCUGUUCAUGGAUUUGUAAAUGCAGGAGUUGAGUAUAGUCAUGUUAAAGCUGGAGUUGUUGUCACGUUUGAUCUUGUCAUGCAAAUGCAAUUUGUUAUAUCAAUGUUCUCAACUUUGUUUUGUAUCGUCGCAAUGAUUAUCAACAAAGAUUUUCAGGUAACCGCCUCUUUUUAAAGUUUAAGAAGUUAGAAAAAAAUUACUUUUAGGCAUGUAAAUAGUCAUAGUAACGUACGAUAUCCAUUUUAUUUUAGCAUUUUACGUAUAUAAACUAGUAAAUUAGAAGUAUGCAUAGAUUUUAUAUUACAAGUGUAAUUUAAUCUACAAUAACAUGUUAUUUAUCUUAUAUGAGAAAUUAAAUAGUCUAGCAAAGGAAACAUUAUAUUACAAAUUUUAAAGUAGUUAAAAGAAUUUAAAUUCAUAAAAGUCGUGAAAACACUAUAUAAAGUAAUAUAAUUGCUUCGUUCUGCUUUAUGUUAUAGUUUGAAUCGACCAUGAUGACGGAACUUACCAAAGAAAUGAAGAUUUCUAAAAGGAAAAAAGAAGAAAGAAAGAAUUAGAGUUAACAAUGACAUGAACUUUCUUUCUCUUAAAAAAAAACUUCUUUUUUUUGAGUGGAAAGAAAAAAAAGCUUCCUUUUCAAAAGAUAACUAAGCAGUGUCAAUGACAUGAACUUUUUUUAUUUUCAGAGUGAAAAAGAAAUUUUAAGUAAUUAUUUUCAAAGAUAAUAAAGGGGAUAUGUUCAAGCAUGAGCCAUUUAUCUUUCUUUUUAGUCCGUUUAUACAAAAUAUCUUCUCUCUAUAUUUAGUAAUUCUUUAAUUAAUUCCAAUAUUUUACAUGACUUUUUUUAAAAUUAUAAGAUUCAAAGGAAAUUUUUGAUAUAUUACAUAUAUGCCUGCAUCUCCAAUUUAAGACCACAAAAUUAAAAGAUUUCUUUUUAGUUUUCUAAAACUUCAUGCAUAGUCAAACUACAACGCUUAAAUUAACAUCGAGAAAGUACUUUUUCUUUAAGAGUUUAAGAUAUAUACGUCGUCCAUAUAAAUCAUAUGCACACAACACAUCAGAUCCUCUUCACAUGUUAUAGCAAGUAACCUGCUGUUUUAUUUGCAUGCAAGAUUACAAAUCUCAUAUCUUAAGGAUGUCUGCCGAGCUAUAAAUAUUCUUUGAAUAACCUGACAGUGUAAGGAAAUCUUUUUAACAAUAUGUAGGCCAUCAUUAGAGAAGCUGAAGAAUUUGGAUUAGGGCAAAAAAAGUACUAUAUGAUAUUAGCAUUAACAGCAAUAUCUCUACAAACUAUGAUGAUUGGAAGUCUUGGGAUGAUUUUCUGCUCCUCAGCACUAUUGUUUGGGAUAGUAAAUGCACUUCUAAAUUCCAAAUACAACAAAUAUUUGCUGUCAUUUUCUGCCUGAAAGCUUCAAUUCUGACAAGUGGAUGGCUUUAGCUAUGUGUCUUUGGGGUUUUGUCUUUCUUAUUUCUAUGGAGAAUAUAAAGAUAGCAUGACCAACAAGGUUACAAAAAAUAAACCAUGCUACCCUGCCAGACCAAGUUUGAAUAACAUUAAUGCUACUUUUGUAUUCAGUGGUGUACCCAGAAUUUUAUGUAAGUAAUUUAUUAGUAUUACAACUCUGUCAGUAUGGGAGUUUGGGUCGUCUUGGAUUGUGGAGUUCUUUUAAGACGUUUAUUUUCGAUUGUAAAUUGAUGCAUGUUUAUUUUAAUACUUUUUAAGCGAUGUCAGCAUGUUGAGUAUUUAUAGUGGCGGAGCCAGAAUUUUUUUUAAAAAAAAUUAUGCCAAGGAAAUUUAACAAUUACUUAUAUAUAUUAUAUGCAAAAAAGAUAAAAUAAAUAAUUUUUAGGGCAAACCACAUAAAUCUCACUAGUUUAGGUCUUAAUUAUUAAGAUUCCCAAUAGUUUCAAAUAUUACUUCAUGUACCAUAUUUUAUGCUUGAAUCAAUGAGAUACAUGUAUCUGCCGAAUUUUAAAAUUGAGAUACAAAAUUUAUUUAUUUAAAUUAAUUGUUUGGAACUAAUUUCCUUAAUUAGAGGAGUAAUUGAGGAUUUUCAAAAUACAUAGAUAAUUAAUUUCAUUUUAUUAUUCUUUAAAAUAGUAAAUUCAUUAAUAUUAUUAAUAUAAGAUAACAACACAUAUAUCUUGGUAAUGCGAUUUGAUUAAUUUCAAAUUAUUACUCUUAAAAUAAUAAAUUCAUUAAUUUGAUGUAUCUAUUAUCAAUAUAUGAUGUAUCNNNNNNNNNNNNNNNNNNNNNNNNNNNNNNNNNNNNNNNNNNNNNNNNNNNNNNNNNNNNNNNNNNNNNNNNNNNNNNNNNNNNNNNNNNNNNNNNNNNNNNNNCAUAUGUUAUAUCCAAAAACAUGUAUCUCGAAUACAUAAUAAGCAUAUACAUUUAAUUAUGUGUAUCUAAAUAUGAAAUGUAGCUGAAACACAUGAAUUUAGGAACAAAUCACGACUGUAGAGUAUCUGUCGUAUCAUUAAUAUCAUCGUGUUGUUAAAAAUCAUGUAUCCAAAAUUUAAUGGUGGAUACAUAUACAUGGUCAGACACCCCAUUACUAAAAAUACAACUCAGAUCUUAAUUAAGAUUACUACUUAUUGGAUACACAUGUUUCAAGGGCUAUAUCAAAGUAAUAUUGGUACUACCAAAUCCAUGUCACGGUAACCAAAGAAAGCCUUAGAAGAACACCAACAAACAAAAACUCUCUACAAUACUCCCUUUGAUCCUUUUGCGUUGUGGUAUAACAUAAUCAAAACUAAGAUCCAUUUCUUCCGGAGACAAACAAUCAAGACACACUCUGAAUUAAAGUUUUCUCUGUAGCAGUUACUUUGAUUUGAUCUAGUUAUAAAUGAACAAUACAAAAUAAUAUUUGAGUUCAGGAGAAUUUGUCGGCCAUGGUGAUGAUAUCUUGAGAAGAAGAGAGUAGAUUAGCUUUGUUGGAAUGAAAUUGUACAAUGAAAUUCUUGAAUCAUAAAGGAGGAGACAUAAUUGAAUGAUAAAUAUGGGAGGGGAGAAUUAAGAGAUAGUGGUUGAUUUGGAGUGAAAGAGUUAAUUAAGCAGAUAAUUAAUCAAUCCUAAUUUUAAGAUAUGUGGGUAUCUAAUAAUCUAAUUGUAUCUUCAAAUAAUAUAUUAAUAUAUGGUAUAAAAUAUUAAAAGUGGUAAUAUAUGUAAUUGUUUGAAAGUAAAGAUAAUAUUAGUAUAUAUAGUAGUGAUGUAUGUCUAAUAAGGUAGUUUAUCCUAAUUUUUACCCUAUUUACCUGCAUAUAUAGUACAAUUUUUCAACAAAGAAGCUUCGACCCCUAUGCCCAAUAUGUAAAUAUAUGUUAUGAGUGUAUAUAUAUUAUCGAAGGCGGAGCUACAGUAUUAGAUACUAUACUAGCUAGUUUCAUGUUUAUUUCUAACUUGGUCAUCAAAUGUUUUAUGUAUUGCUUUAGUUCAAGCAACAAAUUGUAUUUAAUGCUCUUUCGUUACAUGAUUUCUUCUUCAUAUAAAUAUAUAUAGAAUCUAUGAAGUAGAUUUUGUGCUAUAAUCCUUCCUAUUUGAUAGAAAAGGAUCCCAUGAUCCUGAACUGAUCUUACCUGGGGUUGCAAAUUCCAAGUUUGUCUAUGAAGAGCAGAUUUAAUUAUAUUAGUGUCUAUAAUUAAUUUCUUUUGUGUAAUAUUAAUUGAUAAGUGUAUAUUUUAUAAAUAAUUAUAUAUUAUAUCAAUCCCUCCGUCUCAUGUUAGAUGUACAUCUUACUGAAAAUAUUUGUCUCGUAUUACUUGAUCACUUACUAAAUCAAAAUAGAAUUAAUUAAAUUUUCUCGUUUUACCCUUACAAUUAAUAUGACUUUUGGAAGUUUAAACAAAUUUUAAAGAUUUAAUUUUUUAAGAGUCUAAUUAAUAUGAACAAAGGACAAAAUAGUAAAAUUGAUCAAUCUAUUAUUGAUUUCUUAAUCACCAUGUUAAAUAGAAAUCGUUCAUCUAAUAUAAAACAAAUGGAAUAUUAUAUAAAUAUAAUGUAUAACCAAAUAUAUAUGAUGUAUGAUUAAUAAAUUAUGUAUUGCUGAUGUAUAUAUACAUCCAUCCUGGUUUUAAAAAAAAAUAUUUAUCACUAUAUGGUGGUGAGACCUCUAUAUUGAUGAAUAAAAUUGCCAAGCUAAGGAGAGCUUAAGCUCGACCCAUUGUUCCAGUAGUUGCUUAGCAAAAACUAAGAUUCUGAUAAAAACUAUACUAAUUUGGGACAAAUUUACAAGUCCAGCAUAGUAGACAAAAUUAGCUAUAACAUUUUAACUGGAUCAGUUCUAUACAAAAUAAUUCUUCCUCUGCUUAUACCUUAGAGACUCCACUUGUAUGAGAUCAAGUUUGUAAGAUCCGAUGGCUAUCGAUGGUAGGUGAGCCUAUGCAAAAAUCAUCCUGGGUCAAUGUAACUACACUCCUGAUGAGUUGGUACUUGAAGUUUCACCUUAUCGGUAAAAAAAUAAUUUUCCAUCUUGUAAUUCAAUGCCCUUUCCUAUUUUCCCAACCACAAUAAAUAAGUAAAGUAGUAGAAGAAAAAAUCAUUAUCUGGAUUACAUGGUGAGGCAAAUUAAAGGAAAAAUUAAGCUUAAGAAUUACACAACUUAUUUAGAAUCGCAAUCAAGUAAACAUCACUUUUUUCAUAUGCUUGAAAUUGAUCCAUAAUAGUAGGGGUGUGUAUUGAUCGGUUCGAUUUUAUAUAUUAUUGGUUCGGUUUAUUGGUUUUCAAUUUUUAAAUACGUUAAAUUAACCAAUAACUAAACCGAUAUUUCUUAUCGAUUUUGAUCCUUAACAGUUCGAUUUUCGAUUUAACCAAUAAGAAAAUACUUAUAAAACAAAUAUAUGACUUCUUUAAUAAAUUUGACGCGACAACACAAUAAUGUAACUUUACAAAUGCUCAUAAAAUAGAAACAAUAAUAAAAACAUGAAAAGAACUAUACAAGUGUAACACAAAGAGUAAUUAAGAGGAAUGUUUGGUUCUUACUUUAAUUAGGUUUUGACAUUUUGUAAAAUGUGAAGUUGUGAACCUAAAGUCACUGUGACGUGUGAAUUGAAGGCUAAAGGACAAAGAAAUAACUAGUAAGAUAUUGAAUUGAUAUUUAAUAUUUAUGUACAAGUAAAAGUAGUAAAUUACUAGUCUUAAUGGGUUAUUGGUUUACCCAAUAAUCCAAUAUUAAAAAUCAAUACCAAAUCGAUAAUCCAAGUUUUUUCUUCUAUAAAACCAUUAAAAACUCGUUAAUCCAAUAAUACAUUUUCAAUUCGAUUUAUCAAUCGAUUCAAUUUUCCACCAAUAGCGUAAAUUUCUUUUUCAUAUGGCACCUUAGUGCUUGUCCACUUUUUCACAAAUGACAAAAAAAAAAAUCCAAAUAUAAGUUUUAAAAAAUAGGGCAAUCCAAAAUAUCAUAACAAUAGCAAUAAGCAUUAUUGACUUCAUUUUUGCUUUUGACAAAAAGUAGAUUCAUCAUUAAACACUUCUACCUUUCAUUAAUUUCAAGAAUCAAUUAUGCUUUUGUAUAUCAAUAUUAAAUUCGUAAGUAUAGUUUGAAUAAUUUUUAUUAAAAAUGCUAAUUAAGCCAAACAAUCAUAUGAUGUUACAUUGCCUUAUUACUAGGAUACUCUACUUUUCUUCCUACACAAUAAUGUUAGUAGCUUGUGCAACAACUAGAAUCUCUAUUCUACAAUAAUAAUAAUAAUAAUAAUAAUCCUUUUUUGGACUUCCAAUAUUGACAUCCUCGUGGAUUUAAUUUAUACAUAUACUAUAUUAUCAACGAUGGCGGUGAAAUGGAUAGAAUAUAGUCUACUCUUAACUAAAGGAGCAAAAUCGAAGGAUCUUAUUCCACCUUAUUCUUCACUAUUCUUAAUUAAUAAUCUCAAAUUUGAGUCUAAAAAUGGAAAAGUUUAUGCUAGAGAGCACUUACCUUAGACCUCUGAUUAAGGAUGGAACAGUCUCACCACUGCAACACAACCCUUGUUGGUAUGUUUAAGUGUUAAUUAAAAUAAGUAAUAAUAUGAAGUUAAAAUUUGAAAUAGUUAUUAGAAAAUACUUUCAUAAAAAAAUAAAUGAUUCUCGUCGUACCAAAUACUAGAAAACAAUUUCCUUAAAAAACAUUUUCCCUCAAAAGACAAAUACACCUCAAUCUAAAGUCACUUUAAUUUCCUCUUUGGCUUAUAUGUACCACUAAUAAAUAUACCCCCACAAAUUAAUAUCUCUCAAACACAUUCACAAAAAAUAUGGACAUGGAAAUUGAGCAAGAGGGCAACUACAAUAAGCCUAAGAAACUCAAGAAUUUCAUGUCAAUUAAAACACUUCUUAUUCUCAUAUAUUGUAUCUUCCUUUUAGUUGGCCAAAUAUCAGGUGUAUUGCUUGUUAGAAUUUAUUAUUUACAUGGUGGAAAAAGAAAAUGGUUGCAAUCUUUAUUGCUAACAGCAGGAUUCCCAAUCUUGAUUUUACCAAUUUCAAUUUCUUAUAUGAAAAAAAUGAAAAAAAUUACUAUCAACAAUAAUAAUAUUAGACUUUUUGUCACACCUAAAUUAGCAAUAUUUAGUGCUAUUUUAGGUAUCCUUUUUGGUAUUUGUAGCUACCUCUACACUAUUGGCAUGUCAUAUCUUCCCGUUUCGAUUUCCUCUCUCCUCUCUUCAACGUCCCUUGCAUUUACCGCGAUUUUCGCGUAUUUCAUGGUAAAACAUAAGUUCACACAUUAUUCGGUGAACGCGGUGGUCUUGAUGAUGCUAGGUUCGAUUAUAUUAGGGUUGCACAUGAAUGGAGAUCGUCCGAUAGGUGAAUCGAAUCGGCAAUACACGUUAGGGUUUGUGAUGACAAUUAUUGGUGCUGCUCUUCAUGGAUUUUUAAAUGCAGGAGUUGAGUAUAGUCAUGUUAAAGCUGGAGUUGUUGUCACCUUUGAUCUUGUCAUGCAAAUACAGUUUCUUAUAUCCAUGUUCUCAUCUUUGUUUUGUAUCGUUGCCAUAAUUAUCAACAGAGAUUUUCAGGUAAUCGUCUCAUUCAAAAGUUUAAGCAGUUAAAAAAGAAUUAUAGAUAGUCAUAGUAACGUACGUACGAUAUCCAUUUUAUUUUAGCUUUUUACUUAUAUAAACUAGUAAAUAAGAAGUAUAUAUAAAUUUUAUAUUACUGGUGUAAUUUAAUCUACUAUAACAUGUUAUUUAUCUUAUAUGAGAAAUUAAAUAGUCUAGCAAAGGAAACAUUAUAUUACAAUUUUAAAAAUAGAUAAAAGAAUUUAAAUUCAUAAAAAUCGUGAAAAAAAUAAUAUAAUUGAUUUGUUCUGUUUUAUGCGAUAUAGUUUGAAUUGACCAUGAUGACAAAACUUACCAAAGAAAUGAAGAUUUCUAAAAGGAAAAAAGAAGAAAGAAUUCGAGUUAACAAUGACAUGAACUUUCUUUCUCUUUAUAAGAGUGAAAAAAAGCCUCCUUUUCAAAAGAUAAUCAAGCAGCGUCAAUGACAAGAACUUUUUUAUUUACAAGAGUGAAAAUGAAAUUUUAUGUUAUUAUAAAGGGGAUAUGUUCAAGCGUGAGCGAUUUAUCUUUCUUUUUAGUCCGUUUAUACAAAAUAUCUUCUUCUCUAUAUUUAAUAAUUCUUUAAUAUCUAAUAUUUUACAUGAUUUUUUAAAAAUCAUAAGAUUUAAAGGGCAUUUUUGAUACAUUACAUAUAUGCCUGCAUCUUUAAUUUAAGACUACAAAAUUAAAAGAUCUCUUUUUCAUUUUCUAAAACUUCAUGCAUAGUCAAACUACGACACUUAAAUUAGCAUCGAGAAAGUACUUUUUCUUUAAGAGUUUAAGAUAUAUACGUCGUCCAUAUAAAUCAUAUGCACACAACACAUCAGAUUCUCUUCACAUGUUAUAGCAGGUAACCUGCUAUUUUAUUUGCAUGCAAGAUUACAAAUCUCAUAUCUUAAGGAUGUCUGCCGAUCUAUAAAUAUUCUUUGAAUAACCUGACAGUGUAAGAAAAUCUUUUUAACAAUAUGUAGGCCAUCACUAGAGAAGCUGAAGAAUUUGGAUUAGGGCAAAAAAAGUACUAUAUGAUAUUAGCAUUAACAGCAAUAUCUCUACAAACUAUGAUGAUUGGAAGUCUUGGGAUGAUUUUCUGCUCCUCAGCACUAUUGUUUGGGAUAGUAAAUGCACUUCUAAUUCCAAUACAACAAAUAUUUGCUGUCAUUUUCUUGCCUGAAAGCUUCAAUUCUGACAAGUGGAUGGCUUUAGCUAUGUGUCUUUGGGGUUUUGCUUCUUAUUUCUAUGGAGAAUAUAAAGAUAGCAUGACCAACAAGGUUACAAAAAAUAAACAUGCUACCCUGCCAGACCAAGUUUGAAUAACAUUAAUGUUACUUUUUCUGUAUGUAUUCAGUGAUGUACGCAUAAUUUAAUGUAUGUAAUAUAUUAGUAUUACAACUCUGGCAGUAUGAGAAUUUGGGUCGUCUUGGAUCGUGGAGUUCUUAUAAGACGUUUAUUUUUCGAUUGUAAAUUGAUGCAUGUUUAUUUUGAUUACUUUUUAAGCGAUGUCAGUAUGUUGAGUAUUUAUAGUAGCGGAGCCAGGAAUUUUUUAAAAAAAAUUUAUGCCAAGAAAAUUUAACAACUUAUAUAUUAUUUGCAAAAAGAUAACAAAUAAAUCAUCUUUACCCUAUUUAAAUGCAUAGUACAAUUUUUCAACUUCGACCCCUUUGCCUCUGCCCGGUAUGUGAAUAUAUGUUAUGUACAUGUAUAUAUAUAUUAUCGAAGGCGGAGCUACAGUAUUAGAUACUAUACUAAAACAUAGUACUAGCUAGUUUCAUUUUUAUUUCUAACUUGGUCAUCAAAUGUUUUAUGUAUUGCUUUAGUUCAAGCAACAAAUUGUAUUUCAUGCUCUUUAUUCGUUACAUGAUUUCUUCUUUGUAUAGAUAUAUAUAUAGAAUCUAUGAAGUAUAUUUUGUGCUAUAGCCCCUCCUAUCUGAUAGAAAAGGAUCCCAUAAUCCUGAACCGAUCUUAUAUGGGGUUAUAAAUCCCAAGUUUGUCUAUGAAGAGAGGAUCUAAUUGUAUUAGUGUCUAUAAAUGAUUUCUUCUGUGUAAUAUAUACUAAUUGAUAAGACCUCAUUGAUAAGUGUAUAUUUUAUAAAUAAUUAUAUACUAUAUCAAUAAUCCCUCUGUCCCAUGUUAGAUGAUGGUCAUCUUACUGAAAAUAUUUGUCUCAUAUUACUUGAUCACUUACUAAAUAAAAAUAAAAUUAAUAAAAUUUUCUCGUUUUACCCCUAUAAUUAAUAUGACUUUUGGAAGUUUAAACAAAUUUUAAAGAUCUAAUUUUUUAAGAGUCUAAUUAAUAUGAACAAAGGACAAAAUAGUAAAAUUGAUCAAUCUAUUAUUGAUUUCUUAAUCACCAUGUUAAAUAGAAAUCGUUCAUCUAAUAUAAAACAAAUGGAAUAUUAUAUAAAUAUAAUGUAUAACCAAAUAUAUAUGAUGUAUAAUUAAUAAAUUAUGUAUUGCUGAUGUAUAUAUACAUCCAUCCUGGUUUUUUUAAAAAAUAUUUAUCACCAUAUGGUGGUGAGACCUCUAUAUUGAUGAAUAAAAUUGUCAAGCUAAGGAGAGCUUAAGCUCGAUCCAUUGUUCCAGUAAUUGCUUAGCAAAAACUAAGAUUCUGAUAAAGACUAUAUUCAAGUUUCAACAGUUAGGGCUUUUGGCCCUAAUUUCUUUUAUUCAUUUAUAUAUUUCUAUUAUUUUCUUUUUCUAUUAUUAUUAGCAACAAAAUAAUCCUUUAUUAAAUCUGAAAAUCGUGUCUCUUAUUCUUAUAAGCCAUAAAUUAUUUAUAAAAGCUACCAAAAAGGGUUAAUAUAAAAAUAAGGGAAAGGGGUCAAAAAUACCCCUCAACUUUGGUUUAUUGUUUGACUACGCCCUCGCCGUUAAAAUGAAGUUAUUUUUACCCCUCCCGUUACUAAUUUCACCAAAUUUACCCCUCAAUUGGAUGGAAAACCCAAAUCAAUUAAAAUUACCCAAUUUCAAUUAAAUAACCCAAUUUUUUCUCUUUUUAAUCCAAACCCGACCCAUUUAUACCAAAUUAAACCCCCAAAUCAAGCUCCGGCAAUCGCCAUUCAUUUUCUCCGUUUUCCGGCGAAACACCACCAAAACAACCUCCAAACGACCACCUGAAACCACCACUAAAAACCCCCAAGAACCAGAAACGACAUCAAGCAAAAAACAUUAACAACAAACCCAUUUUCCUCUACUUUCCAUUGACGACAACAAGAUCUUUCUUCUCCAUUUCCGGCCAGUUUCAAGCUGGAACAACAUUAAGCAAAUUACCCACCGUCGGAAUCAUUCAAACAGCCGUGAAACCGACCUGAAACAGCUCUCAAACACCACUCUCUCCACGCCAAAAUCGUAACAGAUCAAACCAACAACACAAUCAGGCGAGAAUCAAGGCUCGAAAACAACAGCCACAACUUCAUAUCUGGCUAGGCUCAACAAGCAAGCAAUAUCAUAGUUUCAGAUCUGCCCGCAGGAAAGCAAAAUCCGAUGAUUGAACGAGCUCCAAGCUCCGAAUAGUGGUGCAAUUUUAGUAGGAAGGACAAAUAUGCAUUAGUUUAACUACAAAAUAUUUGUUGUCAAUUUUAGUAGUAUGUGUUUCAAUGGAAGAAGGAGAUGGAGAAGAUUAGAGAGAUGGGUUUAGGGUUCUAAUUUGAUAUAAAUGGGUCGGUUUGGAUUAAAAGAGAAAAUCGGGUCAUUUACUUGAAAUUGGGUAAUUUUAGUUGAUUUGGAUUUUUCAUCCAAUUGAGGGCAAAGGGUCAAAAAUACCCCUCAACUUUGGUUUAUUGUUUGACUACGCCCUCGCCGUUAAAAUGAAGUUAUUUUUACCCCUCCCGUUACUAAUUUCACCAAAUUUACCCCUCAAUUGGAUGGAAAACCCCAAAUUGACUCAGUUUAACCCAAAUUUUAAAAAAAGACCCAUUCCCCAUUUUAAACCCAAUGCCCGACCCAUCCAAAGUUGAGGGGUAUUUUUGACCCUUUUCCCUAAAAAUAAUGGUUAAAAUUAUAAAACGACUAAGAGGGUCGUUACAAUCUAUAUUUUAAUGUUUGUUCUAUUAUAAUUAAUAUUUAUCUAACACGUAUUUAACUUAUCAGAUUGAAUGCUUAUUUACCUUUUUAAACCCAUUUUGUCAGCCUUAUCUUAUAAACUUUGUUUUCUCUAAAAAGAACAAAAUAAAGAGAGAAAGAUAAGAACGUAAUGUUAUGUCGAUAUACAGAUUGUUAUUGUCUUUCAUGUGCUUUAAUAAUUGGAAAAAAUUACGUAAUUACAUGAUUUUAGAUACCAUAAUUUUUGAAAAUUUCUACCAUUUGAAUUAAUUAUAAAACUUCUAUUUUUCCUUCUCUCUUUUAAUAUUCGGAUACAAUACUCUGCCUCUAUAUACAUUACAACUUUGUUUUUGUACAAUAUAUUUCACACAAAUAUUAUUGUCGAUACAUAACUUCAAUCAUUUUAAAUCUAAAUCAGUAUGAAUUUGAUUUAUAGUUAUGUAUCUGAUACAUAACUUAUAUAUCGUUUGCUAUAUAUCGAACUGAUGAGUAAUGUAUCCGCAAGUUUUGAAAAUUUCGAGAUUAUUGUAAUUUGAGAAAUUUUUGUGAUAGAAUGUAAUUAACACCAUUGUUGGGGUUUAUGUACUUCAUACCUAAUAAUUUCAAACAUGACUUGGCUUGUUUCAAUUUUGAAUAAUCUCGUUUUCUUUUCACCAACAAAAGUUAGAAAUCAAAUUAAAAACAAAACUUUUUGUUUGAAUAUUCCAAAUAUGUAUGAAGAAGUUGUCACCAAGCUAAGAUUGCUAAGUGCGCACCAGCGUCAAUUAUGCAUGUUAUGUACGUUUGAAUAUAAUUUUUUUUAUUUAAUCAUGACUAAAUUAACAUAUGUUUUUACUUUAUUAAAUCACUUGCUCAUGAUGAGUUGUAUUAUCGUCUAUAUAUUAUUUACUUAUCCUAAAUUUAAUUAGUUUUCAAAUGAUGGUUGGUUUACAAUCAACAACCGUAAAAGUGGCUAUUUGUUAAAAUUAUCCAAAAUGCGUAAAGCCCAGAAACUAAGAGCAUUAUAACAUGAAGUUUACAAUCAUAGAGGCCCAAAAUCAGGAUUCUAAUGGGCCACGGCCCAUAUAAAUGGUGGAUAAGCCCAAAUAGUUAAGAGGGGUGGAUGAACACAAUUUUAAACCAACAAACUAUUUUUCUUCAAUGUUUUUAAAUUAUAAUUGCUUUAGGUUGUACUCAAAAUUUACCUUUUAACACACUUAGUUUCAACAUAAUCCGUUCAAAAUUUUAUGAGUUUCACUUAUAUAAACUAACUUUGUUAUCAAUAGGCCAACAAAACACACAAAGAUAGUCUCUUCACGAAAAAUAUUUUUUUCAUGAAUAAUAUUUUUCAAUAGGAUAACUUUCGUCAUAUCGAGCACUUGUUAGUGACAUUGAAUAUGUGUUCAAAUUAUAACAAACCGUCAUUACAAAACCAUAAUACUCCAUAACCUAUCAAAUGGGUUGGGUCAAAACGAGUUAGGUAGUAGCUUAUAUAACGGGUCAAACCCAAUCCAAUUUAAUUUUUACCAAACUUAAUUAUUUUAUUUGUUUUUAAAACUAUUUUAGUACAUAGUAAAAUUAUUGUUUUCUUUUAUUACAGUUAUAAAUGACAUAUCGAAUUGAAAAAAAAAAUUAAAAAUAUUUUGACUAGAUUUCUCAUGAGUCAAUUUGGUUUACAUAUCAACUCAAUUUUUAAUGAAUUGAGCUAAUGAACGGAUGAGUUAAUAACCCACCCAAACUUAACGGAACGAGCAGGUUGGGUUUCAUUUGUCACCCCUACCUAUAGGCUAAAUAUACCGUAUCAAUACAUUACUUAGACAUGCGGCCAUUUUAAAAAGUAAAAGUUUUUUUUAUCACCUGUAAAAUAUUAGGCAAUAUUUGAAGGUAAUAUAGUUUCAAAAUAAAUACAAUACAUUUCAUACAUAUAAAAAAUCAACACAUUUGUUAAAUGAAGAUUAAAUAUAUAUGCUUAUCUAAAUAUCAUAAGAAACAAAACAAGAAUUUACUAAUAAUUAUCAUUAUAUUAUAUUUAGUGGCAAUAAUAACUAUGAGUAUUUAUAUAAUCAACACUAUAUAUAUGCCGCUAAAAGUUUUAGUGAUUCUAAAUAUAAAGAUAUUAACUCAAUUACUAAAUAUUUAUAUGGUAAUAAAUAUUGUCGUUAAAAAAAUAAUCUAUUACCACAAUAUAUUUCUUUUGUCAGUAUAGUAAUUAAUAAUUGAGUUGAGUGAUCCUUUUUCCACCAGAGAUAAUGACAUGAAUUUAUGCCUAAUUCACAUAAAAAUGAAAAUUCAAUAUUAAAAUGGACAAAUAAAACCUACCCUUUCUCUCUCUGCACCAUAUGCAUACUUUAGAGUUUAAAUCUAUCAACUAUAAAAGUAGGGUGACAAAUAAAUAAAUUGGGUCAAAUUUGAAUGGGUUAGAACGAAUUGAAUUAGAUUACUGAAUGAAUUAUAAUUUAACCUAUUUUGUAAUUGUGCAGUGACAAAAAUAUUUCAAUGAUAUAUAUAUAUAUAUAUUGUAUUGAUGUUGUAUAAAUAGUUAGGUAAUAUAUCGAUAUUGUAUAAAUAAUGUAUAACUUAGUAUAUAUGACUUUUUUCACCACUUAUUUAGUUAUUUAUAAUCAGAAUUACAUCAUUUAUUAUAAUCAGAAUCAAGUAAACAUCGCUUUUUUCAUAUGCUUGAAAAUGAUCCAUACUAGCUAGUGUGAAUUUUCUUUUUAUACGGCACCUUAGUGCUUGUCCACUUUUUCAUGAUUGACAAAAAAAACAAUACUUCCAAAUAUAGUUUUAAAAAGGAAGAAAAUAGGGUAAUCCAAUUAAAUAUCAUAAGUCAUAAUAAUAACAAUUAUAUGCAUUAUUGGCUUCAUUUUUAAUUUUGACAUAAAGUAGAUAUAACUUUAAGCGCUUUUAGCUUUCAUUAAAUUCAAGAAUCAAUUAAUUAACAAUGCUUUUGCAUAUCAAUUUUGAAUUCAUAAGUAUAGUUUGAAAUACUUUUACUCCCUUUAUUUCUAUUUACAUGUCGUCCUUAAUAAAAAUAGGUGUUUCUUAAUAUUUGUUAUUUAAUUAAGACAAUGCAUAAAUGAAACUAUUCUUUCUAUUUUAUCCUUGAGAGUUAUUAGCCUUGAAAAUAUGCAUUUCACCAAUAUAGGAAAAACUAAGUAAAUAAUUCAUGUAUAUUGGUCAAAUUAAUUAAUCAAAAUAAAUAUAUUCAUGUUCAUUGAUUGAAAACUUGACUUUAAGAUAACACUAAAUAAGGUACGUGAAAUCUAAAAUAAUGAUAGCUAAAUUGGAAUGGAGAAAGUAUUAAAGAGGCAAAGUCACAUGAUCAUAUGAUGUUAAAUUGCCUUAUUACUAGGAUACUCUACUUUUCUUCCUUUACAAUGUUAAUGGUAUUUGCAACAAAUUUUAAAGCGAAAGAAAAUAAAUUACAAUCACAAAUAAAAUAUGAAGAAACAUAAUUUAUUGAUUAAGAUAUGUAAGUACAAUUUUGUUCCUCCCUUAUUCUUCUCUCAUAAGAUAUUUAUCCAUGAUUCGAGAGUUGUUAGUGACAUAUUUUUCGAACUAGGAUGAUUUGAAUUUAAUCUCCUUAUGAAUAUUUCAUGAAUUUGUAGAAUAUUCAUGAUGCCUCUUAAAGGGAAUAUAGUGCCCUUUAUAUAGACAUGAGGUAGGGUUUAAGGUUGAGUAGCCUCCAAGAAUCCUAAUUGAAAUUGAACACACCUUGUAGAAUCUCAACUCGAAUUGAACAUCUUGUAGAGUCCCAUAAAUUUUUAAUGUCUACAAGUGGCUUGUGCAAUAAUUAGUCCCUCUAAUCUAAAAUAAUCAUCAUCUUUGGACUUCCAAAUCUUAUUGACAUCCUCGUAGAUUUAACUUAUAGAUGGAUAAAAUGUCAUCACUUUUACUUAAUAGUCAAGUUCGAGUUAGCAAAAUUUAAUAUGAAUACAAGCAUUUUUAUUUAUGUUCUUAAUAGUAAGCGUUUUCCCCUAGUUUAAUAGAUCUUUUAUCCGGUGAUAAUCAAAAUUAACUGGGCGCAACAAAAUAUAAAAAAGAAAAAAACUUGUGCAUAUACUUAUCGCAUAAAGAAUUAUAUUAUUAUUAUUAUUAUUAUUAUUCUUGUUAUUAUUAUUAUUAUUAUUAUUAUUAUUAAUAAUAAUAAUAAUGUACUUUUGAUGAGAAAUAAUUACUUAUGAAAUUUGAUAAGUAUAUGUCUGUUAGUUAAAGUGAGUAAUAAUAUAUAUUAAGUUUGUUGUGGGAAUAUUGUGGGUUAACUAGGAUACAAUUACAAAUAAAGAAAAUAGAGAGAAGAAAAAUAAUACAAGGAUUUAACGAGGUUUUGGCUAGGCCUAACUUCCUUGAUUAAAACAUUUUGUUCAAAGAAAUUUCCCUCAAAAAGUCAAAUACACCCUAUAUAAAGUCAAAUUAAUACUCCCACCAUUUUUAAAAAAAAAGAUCUAUUUUGACUUGGCAUGAAAUUUAAGAAAAUAAAGAAAAAAUUCCAAUCUUGUGGUCCUAAAUUAAAGUUAUGUCAAAGCCCUUUAAUCUUGUAAUCUUAAAUAUGUCACAUGAAAAAUAUAAGUUAAAAUGUUGCUAAAAAAAUGAAAGUAAGUCAUUCUUUUUUAAACAGAAUAAAAAAAGUAAGUCAUUUUUUUUUUAAACUGAUGGAGUAGCUAGUAGCUUUCCUCUUUGGCUUAAUGGCUUAUAUGUAUCACAUUCAAUAACUUCAUCAAAUGAGAGUCACAUUUCUUGCAACUAGCUCUACCUAGUGCUACUACUAUAAUUAAAUACAUACCCCCCACAAAUACCUCUCAAACACAUCACAAAAAAAUAUGGACAUGGAAAUAGAGCAAGAGGGCAACUAUGAUAAGCCUAAGAAACUCAAGAAUUUCAUGUCAAUUAAGUCACUUCUUAUCCUCAUAUAUUCUAUCUUCUUUUCAAUUGGCCAAAUAUCAGGUGCAUUACUUGUUAGAAUUUACUUCUUACAUGGUGGAAAAAGAAAAUGGUUGCAAUCUUUUUUGCUAACAGCAGGGUUCCCAAUCUUGAUUUUACCAAUUUCAAUUUCUUAUAUAAAAAAAAGAAAAAAAUUUACUACUACUAAUAUCAAUAUUAGAGUUUUUGUCACACCUAAAUUAGCAAUAUUUAGUGCUAUUUUAGGCAUACUUCUUGGUAUUUGUAGCUACCUCUACAACUUUGGCAUGUCUUAUCUCCCCAUUUCGAUUUCUUCUCUCCUUGGUUCAACGUCCCUAGCAUUCACCGCGAUUUUCGCGUAUUUCAUGGUGAAACAUAAGUUCACAGAUUAUUCCGUGAACGCGGUGGUGUUGAUGAUGUUAGGGUCGAUUAUAUUAGGGUUACACAUGAAUAGAGAUCGUCCGAUAGGUGAAUCGAAUCGACAAUACACAUUAGGGUUUGUGAUGACACUUGUUGGUGCGGCUCUUCAUGGAUUUGUAAAUGCAGGAGUGGAGUAUAGUCAUGUUAAAGCUGGAGUUGUUGUCACGUUUGAUCUUGUCAUGCAAAUGCAAUUUCUUAUAUCAAUGUUCUCAGCUUUGUUUUGUAUCGUCGCCAUGAUUAUCAAUAAAGAUUUUCAGGUAACCGUCU